ACUCUGGCACAAUAUUACAAAGACACAGGAGAAAUGGCAAGGGAUUUAAGGAAACAUAGAAUCAGGUCUUUAGACGACCUGCUAAAGGUGAGAUUUCUUUCUUAUGGUUCGCAGUAGCGGUGAAAGCUUUUUAUCCUGAAGCAGCAUCCUGGGAAGUAACUUUUGCCUUUACUCUUGUUCCAAUUAGGUGCACCAAUUUAUUCAUCGUCUUUCCCCGGACGACUUGGCAGAAAUGAAUGAUGUGUUUAUGUUUGUGGACAUGCUUAAGCUGAUGCUUCACAUUGAUGCUACUCAGCGUGUCACAUCUCAUAGACUGCUGGAGCACCAGUUCAUCACCAUGAGCCACAUCAUGCCCUUCUACAACCUCAGCCCUUAUUCUCGGUCCUGCCAUGAAAUUAUGAUGGUCUCUCAGAUUCACAGCAGUAGGGAUGCUGAGUGGCAGUCGUCACAGCAGGUCAACAUCAGUUCUGCUCAGCCUAAGUACGAUGUUUGUCCCUCACCUCUCCUGCAUCCUGCUGUGAUGACUGGUCAAGCCCAGCUGGCUGGCCAUGACUGGGACACAACUGUACAUUCUAAAAAAGGCUCCAAGAGUAAGGCUGGAGAUUGCAAUAGCAUCUAUGAGCCCAAGCUGAAGCCGUCUGGAGGUUCUCCAGCAAGAGAAACACAUGCAGGUCCACUGAUGUCCACCAGCAUAAAACCUCACCCUGAGGCUAGAUCUCACAUGAGAAUCAGGUCCGUCCACCCUUCUGGAGACCCUCAACCACAAGUAUUGUGUUGGAACACAAAUAUAUCACAGGGAAAAAGGCCUCCAUUUGAGCACACGUCAAAUGAUGGAAGCAGUAAACAGCUGUUUGUCAAAAGAAAGACAUGUGAUGAUCAUGAAAUCGGGAGAAGAGAUGCAAAGAACCCAAAGCUGCAACACCAAUGAGAAGCCAAGGUUUUAGUUCUGCUGCAGCUGGAGGGACGCCAGAGGCAACACUCACUUAACAUACAGAGGCAGGCUGUGCAUAUCACAUCUAAGCCUUCAGGGGUGUCCGACUUUGUCCUACCUAACUUAAUUCACCUCAUAAUUAGGGGAGCUUAAACAAGUUUGGCCAAUAAACUAUUUGUACAGUAAGCAAUUUUUUCCAUUUUGUAUAAGACAGCAAAGAGGCGAUAACAAUUUAAACUGCAGAAUUUAUUGUCAGUAAACAAUUUGUUUUUUAUCCAUCUUUGUCCAAUCCUUGUCUUUUCUUUGUCACCAGUCUUUCAUGUGUUGUUCUGACUGCUCCCACCUGUUGUCCCAGUGUUUAUCCCAGUUCAGAUGCUUGGUUUCUUUCCUUAGUUUUGCUUUGCACUCUUAAAUAAGUCACUUUAACGCUCUGUCUCUCUCCAGUAAACUCUGUGGGGUCACCAGACCCUGACACCAGGAACAGUGAGCCUUGACUAUGGUCAAGUUUGUUAAAAUCAGCUUUUGCGAUCUAAAUAUCCCCUCUGUAAAUUGUGCUGGGUCGUGUGAUCCAUGUGUUUACCUUGCUUGGAUGCCUGCCAGUUCACCAUCUUUGGAUCCUGAUCCCACGCUCUCCACACAAUAAUGUUUACCUACAGCCUCAAUCAUUUAUGUAAAUGAAGUAGCUGGAUGGAGUAUCAGUUGGAUUCAAAAUACACAUCAUUUAUAUGGGGGGAUGUCGAGGGGAGCUUGUGAAAUAUUAAAAGGAGGGUGCCAAAAAAAGACCAUGGUGGAAUCACAUGUGCCUAAGAUCUUCAGUCCAGUUGUGGUGACCUUUUUAACAACCUUUACCCAUUCAUGACAGAAUAAACCCAAAUAAAAGUGCCUCCUUCCUCUACUCAUGAAGGUACAAAAACUAAAAUUUCACCCAAACGCAUCCCUUCAGAAACCUUCCCUCAUUUUACUUUUCUCACUACAAGUGCUACCAAAAAGCACACUGUCCCGUGUCUUUGCAUCUCUUGCUUGGGAUUACGGCAUUAUUCCAUUAGAAAUAAAUAUCUCAAAAUGUGAGCACAGGUCAAGAAGCGCGUGUUACAAAUGUCAGAAUCAGAACGUUAGAUUUCACAAACAUGAUCAAACGUGGUGCGGGAAAAAAAUAAAAACGAGUGACUUCCUGCAGCGUCCACUCGGUGGGAUCUGUUUAAAUCUGCUUAAAAAUGCAGUUGUUAAGCAGUGAUGUAUUCAGUAUGUGAAAGGCUGCAAUUACAUCCCAUCCACAACUCAGAAGUCAAUUAAACAUUCGAAUCUCUCGGUGACGGCCGUAGUAAAUGGAUGAUGGCUCGUGUCCCACGAACUGGGAUGAUUAAAGCUACAAUUGGGGCUUGCAAACACGCUGAAGUCUUGCCGCGUCUGAUCUGAGCAGAUUAAGGCACGUGUUGUGCUUCCACACAUGAUUUCCCCUCUCAGACGUGACCCCUGUCAAGGUCAAACACUCCUUUUUCCUUCUCUGAUCCUCCCUGUGCCACAGCAUCUCAAAUCUCAUGGAAGCAUGACUGGUUCGUUUCUAUAAGAUUAUUCUCAGAACACCCACAAAUAGACAGUCUGCGCUCCGUCUGAAUGGAGCGUUAUAUUUUCUGAUGCAGUAAAUAAGGAUUAAGGCAUUAAACCAAAUAUAGUUCUCACGAUAGCUGGAGGAACCAAUUACCCUCUGUGUGUGCCUGUUCCCUUUAUAUAUAUCCAACUGCUAAAUGUGAACAGACUUGGGAAAAUCAUGACCUUGGAGGCUGUUUCUUUUUUUCUUUUUUCUUUUUUUAAAAGGUUGCAUCUCAUUUUAUAUUUCCAGGCUACAGUUGGACUGAAUUAAAUGGAUUGUGAGUUAAAUGUAUAGUCCAACAGUUAAGGUCCAGCAGUACAUAUGUAAUAAAGACAAACUGCUUUAAGGAAAAAAAGCACACUAUAUUAUAUAGUAAGUAAAGCCUUAAUGGGAGAGUAAAUGCUUUCUUGAUGAUAAAUGACUGUCAAACUGUGAAUUUCUCCUCCAAAUGCCUCCACAAAAGGCUCCACCGAAACAUUGUCACUGCCUCAUGACACAUUAUUUGUUUUAAUCUAACAGGUAAUUAGUUGAGCUGUAUUUUCAUUUGUCCCAUACAACAUAUGCGAAUAGCAAAAAACAAAAACCCCUGAAUUUUCCUGAGCUGCAUUAAUCGUACAUGCUAAUAUUAGUGGAGGUAUAUCAUAAAUAUCAUUUUAAACUACUUCCUUCCUUUUUUUAAACGCAAACUAAACUGGUUCAGUACUUGAAGAAUUGCAGAUAGAAUCAGAUGACAUGAAGUACAUUAAAUUGUAGCUUCCCAGGGUAAAAUUGCGUAUUUUUCCCCUCUUCAUUAUAAACCACUAUGUCGACAGGGUUGGGUGCGUUUUCU
Takifugu rubripes (torafugu) is the source of this 3351-nucleotide long non-coding RNA. Lineage: Eukaryota; Metazoa; Chordata; Actinopteri; Tetraodontiformes; Tetraodontidae. The record is from Ensembl.